UGCCAGCCGCCGCGGUAAUACGGAGGGUGCAAACGUUGCUCGGAAUUAUUGGGCGUAAAGCGCAUGUAGGCGGACCAGUAAGUCGGAUGUGAAAGCCCUCGGCUCAACCGAGGAAGUGCAUUCGAAACUGCUGGCCUUGAGUACAGGAGAGGAUCGUGGAAUUCCCGGUGUAGAGGUGAAAUUCGUAGAUAUCGGGAGGAACACCAGUGGCGAAGGCGACGAUCUGGACUGAUACUGACGCUGAGGCGCGAAAGCGUGGGGAGCAAACAGGAUUAGAUA
This 279-nucleotide ribosomal RNA is filed under the name uncultured bacterium. Its description in RNAcentral is "partial 16S ribosomal RNA". It matches the Rfam family "Bacterial small subunit ribosomal RNA", at positions 506 to 784 of the family's 1533-position model. The record is from RNAcentral.